GCAUUGGUGUUUCAAUGGUAGAAUUCCUGCUUCCCAUUCAAGAGAUCUGGGUUCAAUUCCCAGCCAGUGCA
This 71-nucleotide transfer RNA is filed under the name Alligator mississippiensis (American alligator). It matches the Rfam family "tRNA". Rfam says of the family: Transfer RNA (tRNA) molecules are approximately 80 nucleotides in length. Their secondary structure includes four short double-helical elements and three loops (D, anti-codon, and T loops). Lineage: Eukaryota; Metazoa; Chordata; Crocodylia; Alligatoridae. The record is from Rfam by way of RNAcentral.